AGAAUCAACGCUGGCGGCGUGCCUAACACAUGCAAGUCGCACGAGAAAGGGUAGCAAUACCUGAGUACAGUGGCGCACGGGUGAGUAACACGUGAAUUAUCUACCUCCGAGUGGGGAAUAACUGAGAGAAAUCUUAGCUAAUACCGCAUAACACUUACGAGUCAAAGCAGCAAUGCGCUUGGAGAGGAGUUCGCGGCAGAUUAGUUAGUUGGCGGGGUAAUGGCCCACCAAGGCUUUGAUCGGUA
RNAcentral lists this ribosomal RNA (245 nucleotides) under uncultured bacterium. RNAcentral's name for it is "partial small subunit ribosomal RNA". It matches the Rfam family "Bacterial small subunit ribosomal RNA", at positions 26 to 285 of the family's 1533-position model. The record is from RNAcentral.